This 76-nucleotide transfer RNA is filed under the name Hyphomicrobiales bacterium. RNAcentral's name for it is "tRNA-Val". It matches the Rfam family "tRNA". From Rfam's summary of the family: Transfer RNA (tRNA) molecules are approximately 80 nucleotides in length. Their secondary structure includes four short double-helical elements and three loops (D, anti-codon, and T loops). Further hydrogen bonds mediate the characteristic L-shaped molecular structure. tRNAs have two regions of fundamental functional importance: the anti-codon, which is responsible for specific mRNA codon recognition, and the 3' end, to which the tRNAs corresponding amino acid is attached (by aminoacyl-tRNA synthetases). tRNAs cope with the degeneracy of the genetic code in two manners: having more than one tRNA (with a specific anti-codon) for a particular amino acid; and 'wobble' base-pairing, i.e. permitting non-standard base-pairing at the 3rd anti-codon position. The record is from RNAcentral. Lineage: Bacteria; Pseudomonadati; Pseudomonadota; Alphaproteobacteria; Hyphomicrobiales.
AGGCGGGUAGCUCAGUGGCAGAGCGCUGCUAUUACAUGGCAGAGGCCGAAGGUUCGACUCCUCUCCCCGCCUACCA